RNAcentral lists this ribosomal RNA (492 nucleotides) under uncultured bacterium. RNAcentral's name for it is "partial 16S ribosomal RNA". It matches the Rfam family "Bacterial small subunit ribosomal RNA", at positions 29 to 507 of the family's 1533-position model. The record is from RNAcentral.
AGUGAACGCUGGCGGUAGGCCUAACACAUGCAAGUCGAACGGCAGCACAGUAAGAGCUUGCUCUUACGGGUGGCGAGUGGCGGACGGGUGAGGAAUACAUCGGAAUCUACUUUUUCGUGGGGGAUAACGUAGGGAAACUUACGCUAAUACCGCAUACGACCUACGGGUGAAAGCAGGGGAUCUUCGGACCUUGCGCGAUUGGAUGAGCCGAUGUCGGAUUAGCUAGUUGGCGGGGUAAAGGCCCACCAAGGCGACGAUCCGUAGCUGGUCUGAGAGGAUGAUCCGCCACACUGGAACUGGGACACGGUCCAGACUCCUACGGGAGGCAGCAGUGGGGAAUAUUGGACAAUGGGCGCAAGCCUGAUCCAGCCAUACCGCGUGGGUGAAGAAGGCCUUCGGGUUGUAAAGCCCUUUUGUUGGGAAAGAAAAGCAGCAGGUUAAUACCCCGCUGUUCUGACGGUACCCAAAGAAUAAGCACCGGCUAACUUCGUG